AUCAUCAGAAAGCUUAUUUGGAUCAAGAAAAACUUUGGCAUCAGCAUCCAAGGAGUCUUGUACAUAUAAAACCCGCUGGUUCUGUAGUCCUGUAUUGUAAAAGUGAAAAUACCUUUUUCCUUUCUUGAAGUGGCAACUGUACUUUGGAUAAUCAUAGAGUUCAGUCAUUCGUUCUUUGAAUAGUCCUCUGACAGGGCACUGCUCAAGAAAGGGUACCGUAAGCUUGUUCUGAGCCUCCACAAAUGCCUUUGUCUGCUCACUGUCAGGAUCUUCAAGCCAGCAAUACGGGUCACUGAUUUGGUGUCCAUGGUAAUCCAAUACGGCGGCCUCGUCGCGGUACACCUCGGGGUACUGGAAGGCCUGCAUGGCGGGAGGCGGAGCAGAGUGGCGAGAAGAGGAGGAAGAGAGGCGCGGAAGGGGCUCCGAGGCUGCAACUCGAGCAGCAGCGGCCGGCAGCAAGCGUGCAGCACGGCCAAGGCGCAGCGG
This 486-nucleotide long non-coding RNA is filed under the name Gallus gallus (chicken). The record is from RNAcentral. Lineage: Eukaryota; Metazoa; Chordata; Aves; Galliformes; Phasianidae.